GUGGCUCAGUGGUAGAGCACCGAACUUUCAUGUGUGAAGUCCCAGGUUCGACUCCUGGC
Molecule: transfer RNA, 59 nt
Filed under: Erinaceus europaeus (western European hedgehog)
Lineage: Eukaryota; Metazoa; Chordata; Mammalia; Eulipotyphla; Erinaceidae
Rfam family: tRNA
About the family: Transfer RNA (tRNA) molecules are approximately 80 nucleotides in length.
Source: Rfam by way of RNAcentral